Molecule: ribosomal RNA, 400 nt
Filed under: uncultured Rimostrombidium
Lineage: Eukaryota; Ciliophora; Spirotrichea; Choreotrichida; Strobilidiidae
Description: partial small subunit ribosomal RNA
Rfam family: Eukaryotic small subunit ribosomal RNA
Source: RNAcentral
GCUUGUCUCAAAGAUUAAGCCAUGCAUGUCUAAGUGUAAAUACGUCUACACUGUGAAACUGCGAAUGGCUCAUUAAAUCAGUUAUCGUUUAUUUGAUGAUCUCUUGUUACAUGGAUAACCGUAGUAAUUCUAGAGCUAAUACAUGCGUCAAGCCCCGACUUCGGAAGGGGUGUAUUUAUUAGAUAACAGACCAAUAUUCCUCGUGUCUAUUGUGGUGAAUCAUAGUAACUAAUCGGAUCGCAUGGGCUAGUCCCGCGACAAACCAUUCAAGUUUCUGCCCCAUCAGCUUUCGAUGGUAGUGUAUUGGACUACCAUGGCUAUUACGGGUAACGGAGGAUUAGGGUUCGAUUCCGGAGAGGGAGCCUGAGAAACGGCUACCACAUCCAAGGAAGGCAGCAGG